GCUUGCGCAACAACUUCCACCUGGCUUACCUCUUCAGUUGUUUGUCUUGGCUUGUAUUGCCAAGGCGGAAUGUGGGUUUCCUGUGUUGCCUGCCUAAGUAAUGGUAUUGUCCCGAUCGAUCAUAUUAUCUUUCGUCUUGUGUCAUAUUAAUGACAUUAGAUGAACCAUAAAGUUGUCUCUUUGAACCACACCAAUAGUUGUUGUGGCACAUUGAGCAUUGCUUGGUAUCUUGGAUACGGAACCUGAUGUUGGCAUGGGGUCUCUUGAGAUCCUUGUUCUGCCCUCGUUAAGCGUUCUCGCUUCUCUUAAAAUGACUUCUUGCUACGCAUUGGCUCGUACCAGCGUGGUGAGUUAAGUCAAAGAGGAAUGC
Molecule: unclassified non-coding RNA, 370 nt
Filed under: Picradeniopsis woodhousei
Lineage: Eukaryota; Viridiplantae; Streptophyta; Magnoliopsida; Asterales; Asteraceae
Description: partial miscellaneous RNA
Source: RNAcentral